CGAACGUUAGCGGCAGGCUUAACACAUGCAAGUCGAGCGACAAAGGGGGCUUCGGCCCUGAGUAGAGCGGCGGACGGGUGCGUAACACGUGGAUAAUCUGCCUCGUGGCGGGGGAUAACAGUCCGAAAGGACUGCUAAUACCGCAUGUCAGGUCGGAAACCCCGGUUUCUGACGAAAAAGAGGGCGCCCGCAAGGGGCUCUCACCACGAGAUGAGUCCGCGGCCCAUCAGCUAGUUGGCGGUGUAAUAGACCACCAAGGCUAAGACGGGUAGCUGGUCUGAGAGGAUGACCAGCCACACUGGGACUGAGACACGGCCCAGACUCCUACGGGAGGCAGCAGUGGGGAAUAUUGGACAAUGGGCGAAAGCCUGAUCCAGCCAUGCCGCGUGAGUGAUGAAGGUCUUCGGAUCGUAAAGCUCUGUGGGAAGGGACGAAAAAGACCUAACCUAAUACGUUAGGUCUUGACGGUACCUUCUUAGCAAGCACCGGCUAACUCCGUGCCAGCA
Molecule: ribosomal RNA, 506 nt
Filed under: uncultured bacterium
Lineage: Bacteria
Description: bacterial SSU rRNA
Rfam family: Bacterial small subunit ribosomal RNA
Source: RNAcentral